Molecule: long non-coding RNA, 4836 nt
Organism: Ictalurus punctatus (channel catfish)
Lineage: Eukaryota; Metazoa; Chordata; Actinopteri; Siluriformes; Ictaluridae
Source: Ensembl
GUGGAAAAGCCCUUCCCCCUUUUUAAGCAAUAACCAAAACAGAAGUUAAACAGGAAACAAUAAUAAGCCCCAACCAUUAACAAUAGAGUUACAACUAGUCACAGUUUACUGCAUACAUUUGACAGUAAGAGCCAAAGACUGCAUGAUGUUUUCUUCUAGGAUUUCCUGAUACUUCAAUGAAUCCAUCUUGCCUUCCACACACUGCAGGUUUCCAGUGCAAGAGGAUGCAAAGCAGCCCCAGAGCAUCACCGAGCCACCACCAUGCUUGACUGUGGACAGAGUGUUCUUUCUUUAUUAUUCUUCCUCCAGACAUACCGCUGAUACAUCGUGCCGAAAAGUUUCAAUUAAUUUCAUCGCUCCACAGAACAGAAUCCCAAAACUUCUGUGGUUUAUUUAUAUGAUUUUGAGACUUUUCUUGUGCUUUUGAGUCAGUAAUGGCGUACGUCUUGGAGUUCUGGCAUGGAAACCUUCUGCGUUUAGUACGCGUCUUACUGUGCUCACUGAAACCUCAGUGUCUGUUGCCACCAAGUCCCACUGCAGGUCUUUUGCAGUCACUCGAGGGUUUUUCACAACCUGCCUUCUCAGAAAUCCGGUUGUAGCCCUGUCCAGGUAUUUCAUGUGUUCCAGCUCAAGUACACCUGGUGCAACUAUUGAAGCCGUUGAUUAGUUACAUCAGGUGUGCUUAAGACAGCACGUGUUUUGCAUAUUUGUACUAUUGUGAGGGAUUCUAUUCAGGGGGGUGAAUAAUUUUGAAACUGGAGAAAUCAUUAUAAGUUGCAUUUUCAGUUGAAUUUGGAGAAACCACUUGAAGCAUUCGUUGUGGUGAAUUAUUUCAAUUGCAUUUGUUGGAUUUGUUCAUUGCAAACAGCUGAAAGUCUGUAAAUUUUGACAAUAAACCUGAUUUGCAAUGCGGGUUGAAUAAUUUUGAUUGCAACUGUAUAUCUAAAUUCACAAAUUACAUUAUGUCUACGAGCCAGGCAUGUUCAGAUGGGGGAUUAUGUGAUUUCCGAUGUACAAGUAUUUGCCUAUAACCUACAAGAGACGCAAAGCUUAUGGCAUUUAGUUUUGUUUUUUUUUUGCUUGGCAGAUAGAGGUAGUCUGGCAGGACUAAGAUAGCUACAUGGGGACAGGGCUGUAAGUCAAUGUCAUACCCUUACUGUCCAAAUUGUAGACUUCCAACUGUUCAUACUUCAAAAAUGAAAAGCUACAGAGAAACAUUUUGUAUGUCAUUAAAGUAAGUAACAUAUUAAAUAACAGGGUAAUAGUGUAUGGAGAAGACAAAGUCUCCAUAGGAACUGUGUGUUAAGUUCUCCACAGGAAAACAUACCAGCUAAUUUCCAUAUAGAAUCUCAUGACAAAGAACUGAUACCAAGUGCUGAUUUAACCCCUUAAACUUUAAACAUAAUUAUUAUUCAGUUAUUUAAAAUAAUUAUUAAGCACUGUGAAGUAUUCAGUAACUUCACUGAACUAGUUACUGAAGCCUGGACCUACUAAUGGGUCCUGUGAGUUUAAGGGGUCAAUAUGAAAUAAUUACAAGCCUACAAAUUUCUCUGUGCUUUAUCAAGAUAACUCAGUAUGCAUUGUGUUAAUUUAUUGUGCAUGAUAACCGAUUAGGCUCUGAUUCAGCCACUCAGGACCUGCUGCAUGAGAGAUUUCUGAGCUGAAGGUUAAUCCCAAGCCUUCAUAACUGGAAUAGCUGGAUAAGAGCAGCAGUUGUGUGUAUAUGUGUCACUGUGAACAUUUCACACGUUUGUCACAUGACUUCUUGUCACAUGUUCUUCCUACAGCUUUGUUAGCUUAAAAGUAGUACUGGAGUAUUAGCAGAGGUCAUUUUGAGAAAGUUUUGUGUCCAAAUGAAUUUCAGUAAGCAAGCCUAACAGCUUAUACUCUUUUAUAAACUUCCUCAGGAAUUCUUUACAAUUAACUAACAUUAUUACGUGUUAGUUACAUAAACUCUAAACUUCAACAUUAAUAAAUUGUCAUCGUUAACAAUUGGAUGAAUGCAUUUUUGUUUAAAUGAUAAGCAAAUACUAUUACAUUAACACCAUCUUAAGAGCACAUUAAUUUCCAAUGAAUAAAUUAAAGGAUAUUUAGGCAAAUAUUGAUAAUCAAACUCAGGUGUAAAUGUUGGAACAGCAUUUAGAUUCUAUACUAUAUCCACACAUUGGGACAUCCACACAUAUCCACACAUUGGGACAUCUUAGUCUUUGUGGUCUUUUUUUUAUUUCAAAUCAUAAAUUGAACUAAGUAUUGUUUAAUUCAUUAUUAUUCAUUAUUUGUUCCAUUUCUUUAUAAAAGAACUCUUAAUACAAGUGUUAUUUACUUUGUUAAUUUUACUUAUGGUGCAUUAUUGCUAAAGCUUAUGUAUUGUUAAUGCUAAUGAAUGCUGUACAGUCUGUUAAGGGCUCUUCAGUUGUCCCUCAGGGGGAGCACUUAAUGGUUCCAUACUGUGUUUCCUUAUCGAAUAGGGUUCCACACUAGAACUCUUUUAGAAAUGUAAAUAAAAAAAAAUAAAUAUGCUUAACUAUUCAAAGAACCACUGAAUAACCGUUUUUCUAAGAGUGUAAAUAAUAUUAGCUAGGAGAGUCUUAAUAUGAAGUGUCACCACUAAUAUGAAGAGCAUACAUGACUAUAGAUUUAACUUUCUAUAAUGAUUAAUACAUCUAAAAUGAUCUAAAAACACCUGGAUACAUUCAACUGAAGAAGCUGCUUUAGUUGACAUGAUUUUUUCUUUUAUUACAUUCUAAGACUUUCUCUUGUGCUUGACUUUUUUUUUUUUUAUCAUUCUUUAGCUCUUCCUACGCAGCAUGAGUACUGACAUUCAAGGUUGCUCACCUAGAGGAUAUGUGAUGUGUACAUAUGGUAGAGUAUAUUUGCAUAUGGAUAGUAGUUGGAUUUCUUGUAGCUUGCUGCUUGUGUUCUUACCCUAAAUAGCGAACUAACCACUUGGGGUGGACUUUAUAAAAUUUGAUUUAGGGCACUUCCUUGACAUUAUAUUUAUGACAUAAGCUGGCACAGCCACGUGUCCAUAUCUCAAAGAGGACUGGCCGCAGUAAAAAUCUUACAAUCUUUGAUAUGCUAGGCAUGCGCUAACAUUUGAUUCUUGUGACAGCUGUGCCAACACGGUAUAUCAAAUUCAUCGUCAGUCAUAGGAUAUUCUGCUGCCGGGUUAUUUUAGAAAGUAGCCUAUUAGUCGGUUGCUUAAGUGUAUAACUUGGUAAUCAGUUGAAGGGAUGCAUAUGUUAAUCGUAUGAGGGGAAGUGAUGGCUAAUAAUUAAAAGCUUGUGUGAUCAAAUCUUGGCACUGCUAAACUGCCACUGUUGGGCCAGUAAUCUUUAUUAAACAGCUGCUCUGCUCAAUUGCAAAUCUCUUUGGAUAAAAACAUCUACCAAAUGAAUAAAUGUGAAUACACUUGCAUGUGCUAUAAUAUAUUAUUUUACUUAAACCUAAGCUAAACAGUGAACUUAUUAGACUUUUUUUUUUUUUUAAAGAGUCGAGUGACAAAUCAAGAGACUUUUUGAGCAAUUGUUGAGUGACUGUCUGACACUUGAUACAGCUGUCUAGCUCACUUAACAGCUGCUGAUUAUAUGAGUUGAGAAAGCAGGUUCAGCUGACUCACCACCAGUGUUUUAAAGCCUGACUGGUUUGCUCUAGUGGGAGCCAUUAUUCCCAAUGACCAAUCACUGAUCAGCAUUGUUCCCAAUGACCAAUCACUCAUCAACCAUAUGUGUCCCACCCAUGCACUUCUUUGUUUUUUCCAUAUUAAACUCUCUUCUUGGCGAUAUUUAAUAACAGCGACUUAUUCCAUCCAUUAUGUUUCCUUUGUGUCUAUUACUACCAGUGCUUUUGCAUUUUAUAAAUGAUAGUAUUUUGAAAAUGUAUUUUGUAAAUAGUUCUUUAGUGGUACCACGACCAAAGAAUUCUUCUUUCUAUAAGAAGUACGUUAUAAUCUACUCGUAUUAUAUUGCAAUUUGAUAAAACUCAGAUUCUGUUCUAAGUGCGUUCAGAAAGUUUUCCUUCUUCAUGUAACACGUUUUAAUAUGCAAACGAUCGUGACAAAUUAGCAUAUGAUGUCAUUUGGCAACGUGAAAUUAGCAUCUUCUAGAGCCUUUUUGAGCAUGCGUGAUCUAUUUUUCCCCUGCAAAAAGUUGGCAACAUUGGCUCAAAUGCCCAGAAAUGGCUAAUCCCACAGUAAUCCACUGAGUGCGUGCUUAUGAAAUUCCAGUAUCCCAACAUGAGCUCGCAGAUUAGCGCCAAAGCGUCAUUUGGACAUUUUCUCACCUGCCGUAACUCCAUAUGAUCAGCCCACAGGUCGCUAUGAUUUAGCUGGGAACUCCUUGUUUCUUUACGCGGCUUCGGGCGUACAGAAAAAAUAAGGCAAGCAUAUUCCUUUUGGGGGAUAUCUUAACACCAUCUUCGUUUUAAUCUCACAUGAAGCAAAGAUGUGUCGCUCUGGAUAACCUGGGUUCAUGAAACGAAAUAAUUUCAAAAGUGUAGAAACAUUAGCUUGAUGUCGGGAGCAUAAGGGGAUUUUCUUUUCAACAUUUUAUUUAUUUAACAACACAAAAUGUUAUUGACCAGGAGCUUCAAGACAUUUUGACAAGACAUUUUUAUUUCCAAUAUUUGCAUAUAUUUGAUUUCCAGUAACUUUUCUACUACAACUGACAGCGUCCAAACGUUUGCUUGUGAUUGGAUUUUACUCUUACUUUUUGUCCACUUUUAGAUACACAAGUAAACACUCAAUGUAAUAUUUUAUACUUACUGUAGCCUACAUUGUAUCUUAGUAUCCUGUUGGAGGGAAGUGUCUUGAGCCAAACGGUUCUUCCGGAUCCGCAC